UACGUAGGGAGCAAGCGUUAUCCGGAUUUACUGGGUGUAAAGGGCGUGUAGGCGGGCAUGCAAGCCAGAAGUGAAAUCUGGGGGCUUAACCCCCAAACUGCUUUUGGAACUGCGUGUCUUGAGUGAUGGAGAGGCAGGCGGAAUUCCCAGUGUAGCGGUGAAAUGCGUAGAUAUUGGGAGGAACACCAGUGGCGAAAGCGGCUCUCUGGUCUGUAACUGACGCUGAGGUUCGAAAGCGUGGGUAGCAAACAGG
This 253-nucleotide ribosomal RNA is filed under the name uncultured Oscillospiraceae bacterium. Its description in RNAcentral is "partial 16S ribosomal RNA". It matches the Rfam family "Bacterial small subunit ribosomal RNA", at positions 524 to 776 of the family's 1533-position model. The record is from RNAcentral. Lineage: Bacteria; Bacillati; Bacillota; Clostridia; Eubacteriales; Oscillospiraceae.